GGUGGCUCAGUGGUAGAGUGCUUGCCUUGAAUGCAUGAGGCCUUGGGUUCGAUCCUUCAGCACCA
Molecule: transfer RNA, 65 nt
Filed under: Dipodomys ordii (Ord's kangaroo rat)
Lineage: Eukaryota; Metazoa; Chordata; Mammalia; Rodentia; Heteromyidae
Rfam family: tRNA
About the family: Transfer RNA (tRNA) molecules are approximately 80 nucleotides in length.
Source: Rfam by way of RNAcentral